UACGGAGGAUGCGAGCGUUAUCCGGAUUUAUUGGGUUAAAGGGUGCGUAGGCGGAAUAUCAAGUCAGCGGUAAAAAUUCGGAGCUCAACCCCGUCGUGCCGUUGAAACUGAUGUUCUUGAGUGGGUGAGAAGUAUGCGGAAUGCGUGGUGUAGCGGUGAAAUGCAUAGAUAUCACGCAGAACUCCGAUUGCGAAGGCAGCAUACCGGCGCCCAACUGACGCUGAAGCACGAAAGCGUGGGUAUCGAACAGG
RNAcentral lists this ribosomal RNA (251 nucleotides) under uncultured bacterium. RNAcentral's name for it is "partial 16S ribosomal RNA". It matches the Rfam family "Bacterial small subunit ribosomal RNA", at positions 524 to 776 of the family's 1533-position model. The record is from RNAcentral.